CUGGUUCAAGUGAUUCUCCUGCCUCAGCCUCCCGAUCCCGAGUAGCUGGGAUUACAGGCACGCGCCACCACGCCCAGCUAAUUUUUGUAUUUUUAGUAGAGACGGGGUUUCACCAUGUUGGUCAGGCUGAUCUCGAACUCCUGACCUCAAGUGAUCCACCCGCCUGAGCUUCCCAAAGUGCUGGGUUAUAAGCGUGAGCCACUGCACCCAGCCCCAAGGCUUCUUACUGCACUCAGAAUAAAAUCCAAAUGAAUUAGUAUAGCCUACAGAGUGUCAAUAAUCUGGGCCUAAUCACCCAUUGCAUCAUCCUUUACUGUGCUCCACCCAUGCUGGCGUCCUUUCUGUUUAUUGAGUGCAGCAAGCUUUAACCUGUUCGGGUCUUUCAUUUGCAGUUUACCCUGAAUAUUCCCUUUCUCUUACCUCACCUUUGAUUGGCGUUUUCCCCCUUGCAGACCUGCACUCUGGCAUCCUCUCCUGAGCAAGCCUUCUUUGAUUGCUGCCUCCCAAACCUGUUUCUCCCCAUUUCUCUAGCUCAUUGGCCUGUGUUACUUGCUUCAUAGUGCUCACUACUAUCUGAAAUCAUUUCAUUACUUGAUUUAUGUUUGUACUGUCUAUUUCUGUCUUUAGAAUUAAAACUCCUUGAGGGCAAGGACUUUGCUUCUCUGGUUCAUGGUGGGAUCCUCAUCACCCAGCACAAGCCCAACACUUAGGAGAGGCUCAGCUAGUUUGAACCAAUGGAAAAUGCCAUUCCUGAGGUGCACCACAUCGUUUCUUUUGUGUUGGUGUGCAUGCUGUCCUUCAGUUUGUCUCCUCUUCCCACACCCUGUCAUGUGCUCCUAAAACUCCCCCUUUACUUGGCUACUUUAUCUGGCUUGGCAAAGCUUUCCCAUAUCCCCUGACCCAUGUCAGGGAACGUUUCUCCUCAUUGCUGUCAUGGCACCCUGUGUGUGGCUCUGACCAGACUUUGCUAUCCGCUUUGAUUUCUGUCUUUCAGGGGCUAAGUCCUGCCUACAUCCUCAGUCAGCAUGCUGCCUAACACAUAACAGAUCCUAAGCAAAUAUUGGGUGGAUGAAAAUCACUACCAUUCAAGGCUUCAUUGUAUUUAUCAGUAAAACUGAAAUAAUAUCUAAUGGGGUCGAGAAGAUUUACUGAAAAUAUAUAUUUGAAAGGGCUUUGCAGUUUUAAGUACUGUACCUAUGUGCAUUGCUGUUACAUUCAGGAGAUUUCUGAGUUUUAGACAGUCCCAAGCUUCAGCUUAAAAUCUGUAGACUGCAGCCCGUUUCUGAAACGUUUGUACUACGUGUUGACUAGGAGGAACAAUGACAGACUCUGUAGUCACCGGAAAUACUUAAGGAAUCAUGAGGUACUAUGUAUUUCCUUAAAUUAUACUGUUUUUUAAAGCUGAAGUAUCUAAUAGUUAAUGGGUUGUCCAAAUUUGUCAGAACAUUUGACUGUAAUUUAAUGUCUCACCA
RNAcentral lists this long non-coding RNA (1472 nucleotides) under Homo sapiens (human). Its description in RNAcentral is "HSALNT0314811". The record is from RNAcentral. Lineage: Eukaryota; Metazoa; Chordata; Mammalia; Primates; Hominidae.